RNAcentral lists this ribosomal RNA (480 nucleotides) under Theileria sp. RNAcentral's name for it is "SSU rRNA". It matches the Rfam family "Eukaryotic small subunit ribosomal RNA", at positions 493 to 1006 of the family's 1831-position model. Lineage: Eukaryota; Apicomplexa; Aconoidasida; Piroplasmida; Theileriidae. The record is from RNAcentral.
CGCCCGUAUGUCUUGUAUUGGAUGAUGGGAUUUAAACCUCUUCCAGAGUAUCAAUUGGAGGGCAAGUCUGGUGCCAGCAGCCGCGGUAAUUCCAGCUCCAAUAGCGUAUAUUAAAAUUGUUGCAGUUAAAAAGCUCGUAGUUGAAUUUCUGCUGCAUUGCUUUUGCUCCUUUACGAGUCUUUGCAUUGUGGCUUAUUUCGGACUUUGUUUUACAAUGUCCGGAUGUUUACUUUGAGAAAAUUAGAGUGCUCAAAGCAGGCUUUCGCCUUGAAUAGUUUAGCAUGGAAUAAUAAAGUAGGACUUUGGUUCUAUUUUGUUGGUUUUAGGUACCAAAGUAAUGGUUAAUAGGAACAGUUGGGGGCAUUCGUAUUUAACUGUCAGAGGUGAAAUUCUUAGAUUUGUUAAAGACGAACUACUGCGAAAGCAUUUGCCAAGGAUGUUUUCAUUAAUCAAGAACGAAAGUUAGGGGAAUCGAAAAAA